Suricata suricatta (meerkat) is the source of this 2070-nucleotide long non-coding RNA. RefSeq lists it as uncharacterized. The transcript is spliced from 2 exons. The record is from RefSeq and is a predicted model, not a curated record. NCBI's taxonomy places the organism in Eukaryota, Metazoa, Chordata, Mammalia, Carnivora, Herpestidae.
UCUAUUAAAGUCUGUACUACAGAUUCUUCCAUUUAUAUUGAGAAUUUGAACAAUUAAGCCAUCAUUGGGACUUUACCUUAAGCCGAAUGAGCAAGAACAAUUUCUCUGACACAUUUCAGUGCUAGAGAAACAGAGCAAUGGGGGGAGUGGCCAAGACCAAGACUGAAUGUAUAGCAGAGUGCCUUGUUAGAGUGACAACCUAGUCUUGGAAAGAAGGGACUCAGAUGUCCCACGGAGAGGACUGGGACCAUGCUGCUUCUCCCACUCCGGCCUGAGGGAGAGCCCCUUGGUAAAUGUACACCGAUGUGAUGCUCAGAAGCCAAUUUGUGGAGAAUAACUGCAGGAUGGGGAAAAGAGCCGAUGUAACCUGUGGAGUCAACAAACAAAUCAUGAGUGAGGUCUCCCAACCCCUAGAUGAAGUUAGAACUGGAGCCAGUCACACAGCAGUGGGUUCCCAGCUUGGCCCUCUGGAGAUGACCUGGUUGAUAAGGAUGGAAAAUUCUGGUCCAGCCUAAUGAGUGAACAGGAUGGCUGCCCACGAAACCGGGUUAUUAGUUUUACCUCAUUGAAGCUCAUAUUCUCAGAGGCCCAGAGUGCUGUGCCGGGACAAAUCCAAGUGCUGCUCUCGCUGACGUCCAGCUGCCCAUGCUUACGGCAGUGCCCAGAGCAGGGGUUCCACGGACCAAAACCGAGGCCACAAGGGAAGCCAGAGGAGCGACAGUGCAAGAUCCUAGAUAGAGAUUAUACCAAAGAAACCAAGCCUUCUUGUCCUGAUGCUUGAGUUAUGACAGAUGCCAGAGAAGGAGAACUCAUACAUUCCACAUCAAGGUAUUUGGCUGAUAAAAUAAUCCGUCCUCGAAACAAAGCACCUAUCUUUUUUAGAGAAAUCCAUUUUGUAUAUUAGGAAAAAAAGAAAAGAUGAUGGUGAUGUGAAAGUCUGGGACAGACGGUGACACUAACCAGUAAGUAAGGAAAAGGAGCCAGCCCCCCACCCCAUGACGUGACUGUGACCGUUGCCCUGGCUUCAGUUUGGGAACAUCGUCAUGUCCAUGUGAUUCUGAAAGCUGAGUGAUCUUUUCCAAGAGAUGUGGUAGUUUCAACAGCUUCAACAGAACUCCUGGGAGAUUUCUUAACAAAUUCUAGUCGUUUUUAGAAACCUUCCUACAGAGGUAGUUACCACUCAUCACCGUCAUUUAAUAUUUAUAAGUGCCCAGAAUGUACAAGGUGCUAUACAGCUGUUACACAUCCCCUCUCUGCAGCUGUGUGAAGUUAGAGUAGGUUUUUGCCUCAGCCACGGCUAGAAGCUUUCCCACCUAAGUGGGCUUCAGGGCCCUGCGUUCCGGACCUCCUGUCCCAUGUUUCCCCUCCAGAGAGCCUCUGGGCUCAUUCUAGCUUCUCACCUUCUCCCAUCCCACUCACCCCCAUGCUUUGUUUUUUUAAUCCAGAAAGUUUCAGGGAAUCAAAAGAGGUUGGAAAUUUUUUAACCUAGCAGAAGUACAGAGUCUUAUAUUUUGCUACAAUUAUUAUUGUAUUAUGGAAAAUCCACUUUGCCCGUAUGGUGUGUGGAAAGUACCUGUAUGUCUGCACUCGUGGUGACUUGAAUGUUGAAUAGCCUGUGGCUUCAGGGCAGCAUUUUUGAAAGAUAAACCACACGCUUCAGGAAACUCGCUCCAAGUACUACUUGGUUAUCUCUUCCCUCACCAGCUUGAAAGUUGUGUGUGAACAUACUGGGUUGGGAUUUUCUGUUGCUACGCAGGGCAUUUGGGCAUGAGAUCCGGGCAGAAGCAAGAUGUCCUCUUUCCCAGUGUUUGAUUCAUGGCAGUCUUCAUUCCAGUCUCCUUAGUUCCCCAUGGCUCUGCCCACACUCUGUAUUUGAAAAUCUUGUUCUCUUGCUCUCUCCUGGAGCUUCGACCCUCUACACAUUUUAGAGUUAUAUAAAUCUACCAAUGUAAGGUCCCCUCUGUCACCAGGUGGUGCCGCCCUUUGGUUUGCUGUGGUACUUUGCUGUGUUCUCUGUGGCAUCAUGUUACUGUGUAAAUAAAUUUGUUUUAAUAUACACUAAAAACCAGA